CCGGCCACAUUGGGACUGAGAUACGGCCCAGACUCCUACGGGAGGCAGCAGUGGGGAAUUUUGCGCAAUGGGGGCAACCCUGACGCAGCAACGCCGCGUGCGGGACGAAGGCGUCCGCGUCGUAAACCGCUUUCAGCGGGGAACACUUAAACGAGGGUACCCGCAGAAGAAGCCCCGGCUAAAUACGUGCCAGCAGCCGCGGUAAUACGUAUGGGGCGAGCGUUAUCCGGAUUCAUUGGGCGUAAAGCGCGCGUAGGCGGAGCGCUAAGCGGGACCUCUAACCCGAGGGCUCAACCCCCGGCCGGGUCCCGAACUGGCGCUCUCGAGUGCGGUAGGGGAGAGCGGAAUUCCCGGUGUAGCGGUGGAAUGCGCAGAUAUCGGGAAGAACACCGACGGCGAAGGCAGCUCUCUGGGCCGAAACUGACGCUGAGGCGCGAAAGCUGGGGGAGCGAACAGGAUUAGAUACCCUGGUAGUCCCAGCCGUAAACGAUGAGCGGUAGGUGUGGGGGAUGAGAUCCCCCGUGCCGC
Molecule: ribosomal RNA, 528 nt
Filed under: uncultured bacterium
Lineage: Bacteria
Description: bacterial SSU rRNA
Rfam family: Bacterial small subunit ribosomal RNA
Source: RNAcentral